AUUGAACGCUGGCGGCAGGCCUAAUACAUGCAAGUCGAACGCAGUGGGGACGGGUGAGUAACACGUGGGUAACCUCCCAUCAGAGGGGAUAACACUCGGAAACAGGUGCUAAACCGAUACUGAUGGAUGGACCCGCGGUCCAUUAGCUAGUUGGUGAGGUAAAGGCUCACCAAGGACACGAUGCAUAGCCGACCUGAGAGGGUGAUCGGCCACACUGGGACUGAGACACGGCCCAGACUCCUACGAGAGGAAGCAGUAGGGAAACUUAGGCAAUGGGCGAAAGGCUGACAGAGCAGCGCCGCGUGAGUGAAGAAGGUUUACGGAUCGUAAAACUCUGUUGUUAGAAAAGCGGUAUCUAACCAAAAAGCCACGGCUAACUACGUGCCAGCAGCCGCGGUAAUAC
Molecule: ribosomal RNA, 403 nt
Filed under: uncultured bacterium
Lineage: Bacteria
Description: partial 16S ribosomal RNA
Rfam family: Bacterial small subunit ribosomal RNA
Source: RNAcentral